CCUACGGGUGACAGCAGUGAGGAAUAUUGGUCAAUGGGCGAGAGCCUGAACCAGCCAAGUCGCGUGAAGGAUGACGGCCCUACGGGUUGUACACUUCUUUUGUCAGGGAGCAAUUUAGUCCACGUGUGGUCUUAUCGAUAGUCCCUGAAGACAACGCCUCGGCUAACUCCGUGCCAGCAGCCGCGGUAAUACGGAGGAUGCGAGCGUUAUCCGGAUUUAUUGGGUUUAAGGGGUUCGUAGGCGGACUAUCAAGUCAGCGGUAAAAAUUCGGGGCUCAACCCCGUCGUGCCGUUGAAACUGAUGGUCUUGAGUGGGCGAGAAGUAGGCGGAAUGCGUGGUGUAGCGGUGAAAUGCAUAGAUAUCACGCAGAACUCCGAUUGCGAAGGCAGCAUACCGGAGCCCAACUGACGCUGAAGCACGAAAGCGUGGGUAUCGAACAGGAUUAGAUACCCUUGUAGUC
This 460-nucleotide ribosomal RNA is filed under the name uncultured bacterium. RNAcentral describes it as "partial 16S ribosomal RNA". It matches the Rfam family "Bacterial small subunit ribosomal RNA", at positions 338 to 795 of the family's 1533-position model. The record is from RNAcentral.